Long non-coding RNA from Triticum dicoccoides, 405 nucleotides. RefSeq lists it as uncharacterized. The record is from RefSeq and is a predicted model, not a curated record. The transcript is spliced from 3 exons. NCBI's taxonomy places the organism in Eukaryota, Viridiplantae, Streptophyta, Magnoliopsida, Poales, Poaceae.
GGUGCCAUUGUUGUUGAUUCCAUUGUUCAUGGCCAUCUGAAAAGCUAAGGAACUGUUCAAACCUUGAAAUAAACUUGAACACCCUGCAGUUGUGUAAUUGAGGAGCCCCAUGACAUCAACAAGAAUGACGACGAUGAUGCGGAGGAGGAGGACCUCAACUACACACCACACAAAGUCCCUAUUGUCUGUCGGCAAUGGCUUCCUUCCCUGCAGCAGACCUGGACCCCAUGCCCAAGCUCACGAGGUCACCGUUGAGUCCGACCUCCACCUCGAUCAUGACGACGACGACCCGCACAAGGUCGAUCCCUACUUUACCACAAAUAUGUUCUUUCUUUUGUGAAGUAACAGUUCCUUGCUUUGUGUAAUGUUAAGAAACUGUUUGUUGAGACAACAAUUAGUCUCUCC